GAAACGAUGUGGGAAGGCUCAGACAGCUAGGAGGUUGGCUUAGAAGCAGCCACCCUUUAAAGAAAGCGUAAUAGCUCACUAGUCGAGUCGGCCUGCGCGGAAGAUGUAACGGGGCUCAAACUGGAUACCGAAGCUGCGGCAGCAGACUUGUUCUGCUGGGUAGGGGAGCGUUGUGUAAGCCUGUGAAGGUGUGUUGAGAAGCAUGCUGGAGGUAUCACAAGUGCGAAUGCUGACGUGAGUAACGAUAAUGGGGGUGAAAAACCCCCACGCCGAAAGACCAAGGUUUCCUGCGCAACGCUAAUCGGCGCAGGGUGAGUCGGCCCCUAAGGCGAGGCAGAAAUGCGUAGCUGAUGGGAAACGGGUUAAUAUUCCCGUACUUCUUAUAACUGCGAUGGAGAGACGGAGAAGGCUAUGCCUACCGGGCGUUGGUUGUCCCGGGGAAAGGCUGUAGGCUGAGGUGUUAGGCAAAUCCGGCACCUUAAGGCUGAGAGUCGAGACCACUGGUCCUUUGUGACCGGGAAGUGGUUGAUGCCAUGCUUCCAGGAAAAUCUUCUAAGCUUCAGGUUAUAAGGAACCGUACCCCAAACCGACACAGGUGGUUGGGAUGAGUAUUCUAAGGCGCUUGAGAGAACUCGGGUGAAGGAACUAGGCAAAAUUGUACCGUAACUUCGGGAGAAGGUACGCCGCUGACGGUGACGAGACUUGCUCUCUGAGCUAUUGGCGGUCGCAGUGAAAAGGCCCCUGCAACUGUUUAUUAAAAACACAGCACUCUGCAAACGCGUAAGCGGACGUAUAGGGUGUGACGCCUGCCCGGUGCCGGAAGGUUAAUUGAUGGGGUUAGCUUCGGCGAAGCUCUUGAUCGAAGCCCCGGUAAACGGCGGCCGUAACUAUAACGGUCCUAAGGUAGCGAAAUUCCUUGUCGGGUAAGUUCCGACCUGCACGAAUGGCGUAAUGAUGGGGGCGCUGUCUCCACCCGAGACUCAGUGAAAUCGAAAUCGCAGUGAAGAUGCUGUGUACCCGCGGCUAGACGGAAAGACCCCGUGAACCUUUACUAUAGCUUCACAGUGGACUUUGAACCUGCUUGUGUAGGAUAGCUGGGAGACUUUGAAGCGGUGACGCUAGUCAUCGUGGAGUCGUCCUUGAAAUACCAGCCUGGCAUGUUUGAGGUUCUAACCUAGGUCCAUUAUCUGGAUCGGGGACAUUGUGUGGUGGGUAGUUUGACUGGGGCGGUCUCCUCCCAAAGAGUAACGGAGGAGCACAAAGGUACCCUCAGCACGGUCGGACAUCGUGCAACGAGCGUAAAGGUAGAAGGGUGCUUGACUGCGAGACCUACAAGUCGAGCAGGUGCGAAAGCAGGUCUUAGUGAUCCGGUGGUUCUGUAUGGAAGGGCCAUCGCUCAACGGAUAAAAGGUACUCCGGGGAUAACAGGCUGAUACCGCCCAAGAGUUCAUAUCGACGGCGGUGUUUGGCACCUCGAUGUCGGCUCAUCUCAUCCUGGGGCUGAAGCCGGUCCCAAGGGUAUGGCUGUUCGCCAUUUAAAGAGGUACGCGAGCUGGGUUUAGAACGUCGUGAGACAGUUCGGUCCCUAUCUGCCGUGGGCGUUGGAGAUUUGAGAGGAGCUGCUCCUAGUACGAGAGGACCGGAGUGGACGAACCUCUGGUGUUCCGGUUGUCACGCCAGUGGCAUUGCCGGGUAGCUACGUUCGGACGGGAUAACCGCUGAAAGCAUCUAAGCGGGAAGCCUCCCUCAAGAUGAGAUCUCCCUGGGAACUUGAUUCCCCUGAAGGGCCGUUGAAGACCACAACGUUGAUAGGCUGGGUGUGGAAGCGUUGUAAGGCGUGAAGCUAACCAGUACUAAUUGCCCGUGAGGCUUGACUAUAUAACACCAAAGCAGU
RNAcentral lists this ribosomal RNA (1894 nucleotides) under Alcanivorax sp. HI0033. Its description in RNAcentral is "bacterial LSU rRNA". It matches the Rfam family "Bacterial large subunit ribosomal RNA", at positions 1067 to 2925 of the family's 2925-position model. The record is from RNAcentral. Lineage: Bacteria; Pseudomonadati; Pseudomonadota; Gammaproteobacteria; Oceanospirillales; Alcanivoracaceae.